AGAGUGAUAGCUGAUUUGUAACAUUUUAAUCAAAAAGUCUGCAAAAUGAACCAGGCACCAAAUCUUCACUAGGAUCCCGAGGAGCCACAGCAUGUAAAAAUCCCUGUCUCUUAUGGAGAUCAGAGGCUGUGGAGGUUAAGGCUGCAUCAUCCCUGGUACCCCAAAAGAUAUCUAUCACUCUGACACCCUGAGGUUCAGGAGAGCUUGGUCAGCUCUUCACUCAACAUUUGUAAGCGCUUAGCACUAGCAUUCCUAGUACCAAUUCAAGUAAAUAUACU
This 278-nucleotide long non-coding RNA is filed under the name Cyanistes caeruleus (blue tit). RNAcentral's name for it is "lncRNA (ENSCCEG00000017543.1)". Lineage: Eukaryota; Metazoa; Chordata; Aves; Passeriformes; Paridae. The record is from RNAcentral.